Molecule: RNA transcript, 2577 nt
Organism: Diceros bicornis minor
Lineage: Eukaryota; Metazoa; Chordata; Mammalia; Perissodactyla; Rhinocerotidae
Gene: DMRTA1
Gene name: DMRT like family A1
Exons: 4
Source: RefSeq, a predicted model, not a curated record
UGCAGCUGACAAGCCCUGCCGCCCACAGGUCCACACACACAGUCAACACAGUCCUUCCCCGUGUGAGUGCCCCGACCUCCCCAAGCGGACCCAGUCUCUCCAUGGCGGGAGCCCCACACACUCUGCCACCGCCCCACACUCUCCACCCGCUCCUUGUGCACACCCUGCCCCGCUCAAGUCGGCUCAGUUGCCAGGCUGCAGAGAAUCCAGUCACCAAUCUAUGAAGGCCCACAAGUUGCCUGAGGGCUUGUUGUUGGGUGGGGCCAGUCUCUAGGGUGGGCUGCCUGCCCUGGCUGAGCUGGAUUAAAUCGCUGCUCUAGCGGGUGGGGCAGACCCUGGGCUAGCAGGCCUCAGGGAGAACUCCAAUGGCGUCUGUGUCAGCACGCCCACACCAGGCCACAACAAUGGCCGCCACCAAUGUCCCAGUCCCUGGAGAGGUCUCACCCCUCACCGAGAUGCACUCAGGGCCUAUUAGAUUGCAAGCUCUUUGAGGGCAGGAACAAUGUGCUAUUUAUUUGUGUGGACCCUGCAACAUGUGACAAGUGUAUGGUACACAACAGUCAACACAGGAGGGGUCAAGAGGGAGCAUCAGAAAAGUUUUGAGAGAGGAGGCAUCUUCUGAGGGAACACCGGUGGAAAAGCAGGAGUUUGAGGGGAGUGGUGAAGAACCUGGCUUUGGACAUGCUCUUUUUCAGGUGUUUGCCAUACACCCAUGUGGAGUUGGAUACAUGGGACCUAACCUCCAGAGAGAGAGUGACCAGGACCGGAGAUAGAGGCUUGGGAGCAUCAGUGACACGUACACAACAGUGCAGAGGGGCCUCGCCCACGGAACCGCCUCUGGCCCAAAGGCUGUGCUGACCACCCUAGGCCAGACUGGGAGAGUGAACCGCGCAUGCGCGGGCCACACAGCUCUAGCCUUACAGGAGGCCGACGGGUCAGCGACACGGACUUUUGGUGAGGAACCCCGGGGCCGCAAUGCGAUGUCUGCCAAGAUCCAAGGUUGCAGCAACCUGGACCAUUAUCCUUGGGGCCAGUCGUUUCUCCUGGCAGCUGUGAGGUGUCUAGAAUUCCUCCCAAGAGACCAUCGCUACCUGUCCUUGGAGCUUUUCCCCUGAAGGACAGCCUCAGGGCCUUGCUGUCUCCUUUUGACGGGGCCAACUGCCAUGGGGGAGCUGACCCCUUUACCCAAGUCCCUCCAUCAGGAAAUGUUCUCCUCUUUUGCACCCCAUGGGGGACGCCCGAGGGUCGAGGCAGAGACUGGGGCCUGGGCCCGGUGGGUGGAGUGUGGGCUUUCCCAGGACGGCGAACAGGGCAGUUGGAGCCUGCAGGCUGUGCUAUGUGGCUACACUAUAUAUCUUUGUCACAUACUUAAUUACUAGUAAUAAAAGUUGUAGGAGAAAAAAGAAUGAUCCUACAAAAUUAGAUAAGACCAGGAAUUGUAAAUAUACAAUUAUAGGAUGGAAACAAGAAAACCAAAGAUAUUAAAAACUAAGAUUAUAGAUGUUCCAGAAUACUUCUCAGUCACAUGACAAACUAAGCUAACAUAGACUUAGCUCUCCCUCUGCAUUACACUACACAUAGUCAAGUGCAAAAGAAAAAACUUGGCAAUUUACAGGAUCCAGAAACAAAAUACCAACUCAAAGCCAGAAGUCCCAGUGUGCAAGUUGCUACUGUGGCAGACCAAGAUGGCGCCUGUGGUCUAUAUAAACGAUAAAGACCGGUGCUAGGGAUUUAAUACUAAGGAAUGUGGCUGUGGCCAACAAGAGUUGGGGAGUUAAAACUAAAACCCUAGCGUAAAGCUGAAACCAUAAAGGGUUUCACACUCUUAAAAAAGAUUUCUAGAAAACACCUGGAACAGAGAAGUAAGGGUUUGGAGUUGAGGAUAAGGAGAAAAUAAUUCUUCUAUAAGUAAUUAAAACCCCAAGUGUUAUCCACAGAUGGGACCUAGAUUCACACCACUUGCAUUCCAUGGCAGUUUCAAGAUGAGAAAUUAGCAUACUUUCCUGGACCAGUGAAACUCCAGAGAUUAAUAGUAGAAUUAAAUACAAAAUGGGGAUGUUUCCACAACCCAUAGUCACAAGACUUAUAGAAAAGGUAAUCUGGACCAAAGAUGAAUUCAUAACAACCAAAAAUACAAGCCACAUAAAAAAACAAUUUACUGGAAAGGAGAUUUAGCAGAAACACAAACAAGAAAAUUGGCACCUCAAAGAACUUAAGGAAAUGAAAUAAUUUGAAAAAGUUUGGAAAAAAAAUUCAAGAAUAAAAGGAUGGAAAUUACAAUGAGGUAAUAGAGUAUAUAUUAAAAAGAGCUGGCAAAUUUGAAAACAAACCAUCUAGAACUUCUAGAAAUAGUUUUUGAAAUUUUGGUUAAAAAAUACCCUCAAAAAAUAAUUACAUAGCAGAUCACACAAACUAGGACAAGAAUGAAGAGAACUGAAAGCUGUUUGAGAAACUUACCAGAAUGCACAGGAAGAGAUAAAAAGGUUAGACUGAGAUACAAAGGAUAGAUUGAGAAGAUUUAAUGGCAUAAAGGACAUUUUUGAAAAAAUGGCUGAGAAUUUUCCAGAAUCAAAGAAA